CAACUUUCAGCAACGGAUCUCUUGGCUCUCGCAUCGAUGAAGAACGCAGCGAAAUGCGAUAAGUAAUGUGAAUUGCAGAAUUCAGUGAAUCAUCGAAUCUUUGAACGCACCUUGCGCUCCUUGGUAUUCCGAGGAGCAUGCCUGUUUGAGUGUC
This 154-nucleotide ribosomal RNA is filed under the name Pseudotomentella tristis. Its description in RNAcentral is "5.8S ribosomal RNA". It matches the Rfam family "5.8S ribosomal RNA". From Rfam's summary of the family: 5.8S ribosomal RNA (5.8S rRNA) is a component of the large subunit of the eukaryotic ribosome. It is transcribed by RNA polymerase I as part of the 45S precursor that also contains 18S and 28S rRNA. Functionally, it is thought that 5.8S rRNA may be involved in ribosome translocation. Lineage: Eukaryota; Fungi; Basidiomycota; Agaricomycetes; Thelephorales; Thelephoraceae. The record is from RNAcentral. RNAcentral also lists the same sequence under 6 other names.